This 75-nucleotide ribosomal RNA is filed under the name Stephanopyxis turris. RNAcentral's name for it is "partial Eukaryotic large subunit ribosomal RNA". The record is from RNAcentral. Lineage: Eukaryota; Bacillariophyta; Melosirophyceae; Stephanopyxales; Stephanopyxidaceae.
GGGGAAUUGUGUUUGGGUUGGACAAAGCGCAGGGAAAUUUUGGCUGAGGUUGGAGGUUAUAGUGAAGAACAAAUA